This 4401-nucleotide unclassified non-coding RNA is filed under the name Drosophila virilis. Its description in RNAcentral is "GJ11277". Lineage: Eukaryota; Metazoa; Arthropoda; Insecta; Diptera; Drosophilidae. The record is from RNAcentral.
CAACAAACGCGAAAAGCUGCAAAUCCUAGCGCUGGCUUAUCCCUGCACAUUACAACUAUCUUAACUGUGUCUGAACUGGCGUGAGUAAGCGUUUGGAUUGCGUUCGGCUAGGAGCAAACGGCAGCGCGUGUUAAGAAAUUAUAAUAAGAAACAGUGAGAACACAGCUAAAGAUAUGUAAAGAAAGAGUUCAUUAUCAAAAGUGACUACGAAAAGUGAACAGCAAAUGCAAGUGCAAGUGCAAGCGCAAGUGCAGUGAACCAGUCUCAGCGGACGGCGCCCUUGAACGUAAAUGCGUGCAGGAAUUUGCGUACGCAGAAACGCUAGCGGCAGCGGUGAAAAGCGUAGCGACAAAAUAGUAGUAGAUAUUGUAGUCGAGUGAGCAGCUCGGUUGGCCAAAAUGACGUGCUCGUUAAUUAAUUAACUAAUUAAGAAGUGAAUGAAAGAGAGUGAAAUAGGUGUAGUCCGAGGCCACAAACAAGAACUCCCAAAUCCGUAUUAAUAUGACAUCAUACGCAAAUGACACAACGGCAACGGCGGCAGCCACAACAACAACAACAACAACAGCAGCAGCAAGAAAUGCAGGAGGCGAACCGCCAGCAGCAGCCGCAACGCCAGCGUCUGCAGUCGGCGCAACUGCUGUGGUGCAGCUCAACAAGCAAAUGUCCAGCCACAACAACAACCAUAAUAACAGUGCUUACGAAGAGGACGACAACAACAGCUUGGAUGGGCGCGAGAAAGCCGACACGACGCCUGAGAACAUCAAGAAGAUUGCCGAGAUCAUAAACGACAAGGAGGCAGCGGCAGCGGCAGCGGCAGCGGCAGCAGCAGCGACGCCAAGCUCACUCUCGCCGCGACUUCAGCAGCAGCAGCAGCAGCAGCAGCAUGCGUCGAGCUUUGUAGGACUUGGCGCUGCCAUCGAUGAGUCAAACACAAAGUUCUGCCUUGGCAAGCCGCCGCCAUCGCCAGCCGAAAAAGCGGCUGUGCUGAGCCGAGCGAAUCACCAACAGAACAGCUGCAGCAGCAGCAGCGUCGGCAACAAAGAGAUCUCCGCUGCGGAGGAUGCGGAGGACGAGUCGACGGCAUCGAAUUCAACGGCAACAAAGCAAUCGCUGGCCUUCACCAUUGACCACUUUGACGCCUCGGAGAACGACGCGGCAGCGCAGGCCGCACGCUAUAAGAACAUGAUGGAGCGCUUUCAGAGUCGCCACAGGCGCGGCGCCUCCAUGUCCAAGCUGGAGAGCGAGCACGGCAGCACGGCGACCAGUGGCAACGGGCGCCACUCGCAGCGCAGCAGCCUUGACGCCAGCAGCGUUGCCGAUGAUGAUGCUUCAAUGACGGCGGCCACGCCCACGGCCGAAACGCCCGCCGUGAAGUUGCGUGUGCGCGAGCGCAGUGCCUCGCGUGUAAGAGACGCCUCCAAGCGGCACAGCUGGUCGCCGCGCAGCUCGGCCACAACAGAGCCAGCCGCUGGCCGCGCGUCCAACCAAAAGCCAAAGUCCACACAGCCAGCGGCGCCGCCGAAGGGCGCUGCCAAUCUGCUGGCGAAUCGCACCACACAGUUCACGCCGCGCUCGACGGCCAUGCAAAUGGCGCUGCAGCAGGUGGAGCUGCUGUGUCCGCAUCCGCCACUGGACGACAUGAAGGCAGCGGCGGGGGAGGAGGACGCGGUCAGCGAGGCGGGCACCUACACUCUAGAUGGCGAUAACUACACAGAGGAGCAGAAGGAUCUCAUGAACAUCGAUCGGAAUGCAGCCGCGGCUGCGGCAGCUGCCGCGGCCAAGCUGCGACCCAAGCAGCUGGCGCUGAAGCCCAGCCGUCCCAGCAAUGUGCUCGAAGUAAACUACUACCACGAGACGCCGCAGCAGGAGCAGAAGGGCAGCAGCACCAAUGCCAAUGCGACGGGCGCCUAUUUGGAGCAGCUCAAGUCGCGUGUGCUGCGGCCGCCUCAAACGCCUCCAACGCCGUCGUCGCCUCGAUCGCCGGCCGCCGAUGUGGGCUGCUUCACCAGCGUCACCACGAGCGGUGUGCUGGCCAAGCAGCGUGCCCUCGACACGCAUCCCAAGCUGACGCGCCACUCGCACAGUCUGUCCACCUCGCAGAUCGACAGCUCCGAGUACGUCAGCAACGAGGCGAAGUUGCGUCAUGCGCAGGCCAUGGCCGGCAGCGCUACAGAUCGCCAGAAGGCCGAGUACCGCCUGAAUGUGUUCACCACCAGCAACACACAGCAGCAGCAGCAUCAGCUGAAGGAACAGCUGCAUCAACUGCCCGAGACGCCAACGACGCCCACAGAGGCAGCACUGCUGCAGUCGGCGCCGACCAAGCAGGACUGGAUACAGGAGUGGGCGCGCAAUGCGCGUGCCCGCAGCCUGGCGCAGGAUGUGAGCAGCAGUUCCGCCAGCCGGAGAAAGCAGCAGCAGGCGCAGGCACAGUUGAUGACACGCAGCUACAACUGCUCGGACACAGGCGCGGACUCGCUGACGGAUGACAGUCUCAGCCUGUACAAUCAGCAGCAGCGUCAAUAUGCGGCGGCUGCCAAACUCAAUCGCAACCUGGCCGAGCGUUAUCGACUGCUGGGCGACUGUGACUACGCGAGCGAUCCGGCGCUGUGCAGCCAUGCUGGCCAGGUGGGUGGCGAGCCAUAUAAGCCACCGAAGAGCCCCAGUAAAAUACCCUCGCCGCUGCACACGCUGGGACGUGCGCGCAGUGCCAGCCGCUCCAGGCCGGCCAUGGAGCAGCUGCCCUCGCAGACACCGUCGUCGCGUCGCAGCUCGGUUAAGUCGCCGGCGGCACAGUGCAGUCCACAGCACAGCCUGGAAACGGGCUAUCAUCGAUCGCCGCUGCAUCGUGCACUCAUGACCAGCAGCAUCAACGAGGCCCAGCUUCAGCUGUUGACCAGCGGCGAGUAUUUGCUGAAGCAGCUGCAUCGACGCAAGAACUCGCUGGACGAUGUGGAGCACGAGCACGGCCAUGAGCUGCCGUCUUCGAUGUGCGGCGUAUCUGGCUCCAUAUCGCCACUGCGUCGAUCCAGCUCCUUCCAGCAGCAGCAGCGACCGCUGCAGUCUGUGCGACGGGCGCGUCCCAACUUUCAGAAUCUGUACACGCCGCCCGCGGCACGGCCCAUGCCGCAGCAACAGCUGCAGCUGCAGCUGCAGUUAAAGAAAUCCGCCAGCAGCAACAACUUUGAGCAGUCGUACAGCGACUACGACAACGAGCUACAGUACUAUAUAAAUGAUGAGGACGAGCUGGGUACCACAGGUCCCUACUACUCCAGCGGCGAUGAGGACGACGACAUGGAGCAGCAGUCGGCGGCACAGCAAGCGGACUCUACGGUGCCGCUGAGCAACACGCGCCUCAACAAGGCGCUGCUCAUGCGCAUCGAACGCAGCAAACAGCGCGUAGCGGGCAGUGGACCAGCAACUGGAACUGGAACUGGCCAGGGGCAAACGCCAUCCAAGCCCAGCUCAGCGCCCGCGGGCAAGCUGAGUGCAGCUGCCCAGGCGGCAGCCGGACUGAUCGCCUGCCCCAAUACGCCGGAGUUGCCGCGUCGCGGCAUCAAAAGCGCUCACGCACCACGCACAGCUUCCGGCUGCGGGCCCAAGUUGCGUCAGUCCAUGCCGCGCGAGACGAGUCUGAGCCGUUUGGCGCAGCAGGUGCCCAGCAGUCUGGCCAAUGCAAAGAAGCAGCUGCUGCAAACGGCCAAUGCGGGCAAUGUCCGGGAUCAGCAGCAGCGUGUGCAGCCCAAGUACCUGGACAUAUCCAAGUACAAGUCGGCGCAGUCCAACAAUUUUCUGCGCAAAAAUGAUGCCAAGAGCACGCUAAAGCCUGCCGAGCAAAUGAAGCGCAGCCCCAGCGCCUCCUCCAUGGGCCUAAGUCGAACCGAGGGCACACGCGCCAGCAAUCGCAGCGUGCGCUCAAACACCUCUGUGAUGAACAGCAGCACCACAUCGUUGGGUGGCGCCACAGGCAUGCGCGCCUCAUCCGCCGUGCGACGCGACGCCUCAGUGAACAAGCAGAAGGAGGCCGAAAUGGUCAUGUGGAAGCGACGCUCCACAUACGAUCCAAUGAAGGCAGCUGCCGAGGACAGACGCCGCAAGGAGGAAGCGCGCCGUGCCCAGACCCAGGCCCAGGCUCAGGCUCAGCGUCAGUUCAACGAUAUGGCCAACGAUGUGCCAUUCGAAAGGUCUCGUACAGAUGUUUCAGUAAGCCCCCCUCUCUCUCUCUGAGCUCAAUAUACUAAUCUGCUUUAGUCAGAACAUUUAGAUUCAAAUUUAAUAUGUGGUUCCUAAGACCAGUCUCUUAGCGGAAUAUAUGUGCAUUUAGUGUGCAGCGACCGGCCAACAAUCUGACCAUCACGGGCAGCAUAAACUACAGUCCAAGAAAUUCAGUGGAAAACGAUGCCU